CGGGACGGGUGAGUAAUGUCUGGGAAACUGCCUGAUGGAGGGGGAUAACUACUGGAAACGGUAGCUAAUACCGCAUAACGUCGCAAGACCAAAGAGGGGGACCUUCGGGCCUCUUGCCAUCAGAUGUGCCCAGAUGGGAUUAGCUAGUAGGUGGGGUAACGGCUCACCUAGGCGACGAUCCCUAGCUGGUCUGAGAGGAUGACCAGCCACACUGGAACUGAGACACGGUCCAG
RNAcentral lists this ribosomal RNA (233 nucleotides) under uncultured bacterium. RNAcentral's name for it is "partial 16S ribosomal RNA". It matches the Rfam family "Bacterial small subunit ribosomal RNA", at positions 100 to 334 of the family's 1533-position model. The record is from RNAcentral.